This is a long non-coding RNA of Papaver somniferum (opium poppy), 578 nucleotides long. RefSeq lists it as uncharacterized. The record is from RefSeq and is a predicted model, not a curated record. The transcript has 4 exons. Lineage: Eukaryota; Viridiplantae; Streptophyta; Magnoliopsida; Ranunculales; Papaveraceae.
CACAGACAUGGAUAGAGAAGAGAAAAGGCGAAAGUUGCAGGAAAUUGUGUUGAAAAAUUUAUAUCCCUCCUGAAAAGAACAACCAAAUCCUUCAAAACAUCAUAAUCAAAUUCAUUUACAAAAGACUGAUUACAAGUAUGAGAUUGAAGAGCAAGUUUACCUCAAUAUGUCUAAUCAAGGACUCGAUGAUUUUGAGCCUGGGGAGAAGUCUGCAAGCGAUACUAAUGAUGAUACAAGUGGUUCAGCAUCCGAGAAGAAGUUAACAAGAUCUCAGAGGAAAAGACAUAGGAAGAAGAAGCUGAAGGAAACAGCUUCACGACCUAGAAAUAAAAUUAUCGGUCAAAUGAAACUGAUACCGUUUUAAGAGAUGCAAGGGUAUUGGAUUUGGAUGAUCCAAUUGACAAGCCAGGUUCUGGACAGAAGCGUAACACUUGGAAGAAACUAAAGCAAAGACGAGCAGCUAAGAAGCUUAAUCAAAGUACUAGUUUGGGUAGCUUGAAUGCGGAUACAUGUACGUAAUCAAGCACAUGACCGACCCUUGACGUGACAAUGGAAGUACAACCAAAACAAAGAUGUUG